UAACGGGUUAAAUUCAUAGGAAUAAUGGUAGAAAACGCAGGUAGAGAGGAAAUAUAUUUGUGGGUCAGACAGUAGCAGAUCUGCUAUAAAACUAAUGAACCUUAAGAUUCAGGGCCCCUUAUUCUGGAGGGGCCCCUCUGAAGCAACUUAAUUUUUUUCGUUCUGUCAAUUAUUAUUUUUUUAUUUUUUUUUUUUGUAUUUUACCAUGCAGUUUGCGUCUUAGUGGACGUCAUCUCAUACUCCUACACAGUCUGCUGGUGUGGAUUAACAUAAAAAUAAAGUACAAACGACUGACAGAUGAUUUGCUUUACUUGAAUUAUUUUGGAAACUUCAGCCCUACCCCUCCCACUGUCAAAUAUGUCUACUACUACAUCAGCACGGUAGAGAGGUCUAGGCCCCAAGAGGAAUAGCAAUGUCUUCAAGAAAGUACUUAAGCGGAUACCAGAAACGCCAACUCAAGGAAAAGCAAUCUAAUGAGAUUUCUAAAUGUCAAAAACUAUCAAACUAUUUUACAAUGUCAAGUAAAAGUUUGUCAUCACCUGCAACUGAAACAACCCAUACAAGAACCAGUGAAGUCAAUGAUAGGGUACAAACCACAAGUGCUCUGUUUAGCAAUAAUCAACCUACUCUUGACACUUUUGGUGCAGAUAAUGAUCACGGUGGUCAAGAACUUCAAGAAAAGAGAGAGCAGAAAAGGGAAACAGGAAGCAAAUUUAGUCAUUUCAAAGAAAACAGUGACCUGGCAAAUUGGCCUGUAACAAUUGAUAAUGAUUUCAUACAAAACUGUUUAAUGCAAGACAUCAGUUUUUUUUUGUUUUUUUUUUAAAUAAAAUAAAACAGAUAAUGUAUAUAUUGAAUCCAACAAGAUUUACAAACUGCAAAA
Molecule: long non-coding RNA, 883 nt
Organism: Octopus bimaculoides (California two-spot octopus)
Lineage: Eukaryota; Metazoa; Mollusca; Cephalopoda; Octopoda; Octopodidae
Source: RefSeq, a predicted model, not a curated record